RNAcentral lists this ribosomal RNA (254 nucleotides) under uncultured bacterium. Its description in RNAcentral is "partial 16S ribosomal RNA". It matches the Rfam family "Bacterial small subunit ribosomal RNA", at positions 524 to 776 of the family's 1533-position model. The record is from RNAcentral.
UACGGAGGGGGCAAGCGUUGUUCGGAAUUACUGGGCGUAAAGGGCGCGCAGGCGGCUGCUCAAGUCAGGCGUGAAAGGCCUGGGCUCAACCCGGGAAUUGCGCUUGAGACUGGGCUGGCUUGAGUGCGGGAGAGGAUGGUGGAAUUCCCAGUGUAGAGGUGAAAUUCGUAGAUAUUGGGAAGAACACCGGUGGCGAAGGCGGCCAUCUGGACCGCAACUGACGCUGAGGAGCGAAAGCAUGGGGAGCGAACAGG